Small RNA from Cronobacter sakazakii ATCC BAA-894, 95 nucleotides. It matches the Rfam family "sraA". The record is from Rfam. Lineage: Bacteria; Pseudomonadati; Pseudomonadota; Gammaproteobacteria; Enterobacterales; Enterobacteriaceae.
AAGUAAAUCAGUAUAUGGGGAUGUUUCCCGGACAUUCAACGGCACGGAAGCAGGAAAAAUAAAUGGGGGAAUAUUUCCCCCAUUUAUUGUUAACU